RNAcentral lists this ribosomal RNA (495 nucleotides) under uncultured bacterium. RNAcentral describes it as "partial 16S ribosomal RNA". It matches the Rfam family "Bacterial small subunit ribosomal RNA", at positions 28 to 507 of the family's 1533-position model. The record is from RNAcentral.
GACGAACGCUGGCGGCGUGCCUAAUACAUGCAAGUAGAACGCUGAAGGAGGAGCUUGCUCUUCUGGAUGAGUUGCGAACGGGUGAGUAACGCGUAGGUAACCUGCCUGGUAGCGGGGGAUAACUAUUGGAAACGAUAGCUAAUACCGCAUAACAGUAGAUGUUGCAUGACAUUUGCUUAAAAGGUGCAAUUGCACCACUACCAGAUGGACCUGCGUUGUAUUAGCUAGUUGGUGGGGUAACGGCUCACCAAGGCGACGAUACAUAGCCGACCUGAGAGGGUGAUCGGCCACACUGGGACUGAGACACGGCCCAGACUCCUACGGGAGGCAGCAGUAGGGGAUCUUCGGCAAUGGACGGAAGUCUGACCGAGCAACGCCGCGUGAGUGAAGAAGGGUUUCGGAUCGUAAAGCUCUGUUGUAAGAGAAGAACGAGUGUGAGAGUGGAAAGUUCACACUGUGACGGUAUCUUACCAGAAAGGGACGGCUAACUACGUG